CCUACGGGGGGCUGCAGUGGGGAAUAUUGGACAAUGGGCGAAAGCCUGAUCCAGCCAUGCCGCGUGUGUGAAGAAGGCCUUCGGGUUGUAAAGCACUUUCAGUGGGGAAGAAAGCCUUGGGGCUAAUACCCUCGAGGAAGGACAUCACCCACAGAAGAAGCACCGGCUAACUCCGUGCCAGCAGCCGCGGUAAUACGGAGGGUGCGAGCGUUAAUCGGAAUUACUGGGCGUAAAGCGCGCGUAGGCGGUCUGAUAAGCCGGUUGUGAAAGCCCCGGGCUCAACCUGGGAACGGCAUCCGGAACUGUCAGGCUAGAGUGCAGGAGAGGAAGGUAGAAUUCCCGGUGUAGCGGUGAAAUGCGUAGAGAUCGGGAGGAAUACCAGUGGCGAAGGCGGCCUUCUGGACUCACACUGACGCUGAGGUGCGAAAGCGUGGGUAGCAAACAGGAUUAGAUACCCCAGUAGUC
Molecule: ribosomal RNA, 465 nt
Filed under: Vreelandella stevensii
Lineage: Bacteria; Pseudomonadati; Pseudomonadota; Gammaproteobacteria; Oceanospirillales; Halomonadaceae
Description: partial 16S ribosomal RNA
Rfam family: Bacterial small subunit ribosomal RNA
Source: RNAcentral